UGAGUACGAGCUGCUACGGCAGCGAAGUGGGUGAUGUCAAGCUUCCAAGAAAAGCCCUAUACCCGUUAAGGCAUGAUGGCCUGUACCCGAAACCGACACAGGUGGGGUGGUAGAGAAUACCGAGGGGCGCGAGAUAACUCUCUCUAAGGAACUCGGCAAAAUGGCCCCGUAACUUCGGGAGAAGGGGUGCCACCGCAAGGUGGUCGCAGUGAAGAGGCCCAGGCGACUGUUUACCAAAAACACAGGUCUCCGCUAAGUCGCAAGACGAUGUAUGGGGGCUGACGCCUGCCCAGUGCCGGAAGGUUAAGGAAGCUGGUCAGCGUAAGCGAAGCUGGCGACUGAAGCCCCGGUGAACGGCGGCCGUAACUAUAACGGUCCUAAGGUAGCGAAAUUCCUUGUCGGGUAAGUUCCGACCCGCACGAAAGGCGUAACGAUCUGGGCGCUGUCUCGGAGAGAGGCUCGGCGAAAUAGAAUUGUCUGUGAAGAUGCGGACUACGUGCACCCGGACAGAAAGACCCUAUGAAGCUUUACUGUAGCUUGGUAUUGUGCCCGGGCUCUGAAUGCGCAGGAUAGGUGGGAGGCUUUGAUCCAUUGCUUGUGGGUGAUGGUGAGCCAACGGUGAGAUACCACUCUUUCAGAGCUAGGGUUCUAACGGUCACCCGUCAUCCGGGGACCGGACAGUAUCAGGUGGGCAGUUUGACUGGGGCGGUCGCCUCCUAAAAGGUAACGGAGGCGCCCAGAGGUUCCCCCAGGCUGGUUGGAAAUCAGCCGACGAGUGUAAAGGCAGAAGGGAGCUUGACUGUGAGACCUACAAGUCGAACAGGGACGAAAGUCGGCCUUAGUGAUCCGACGGUUCUGAGUGGAAGGGCCGUCGCUCAACGGAUAAAAGUUACUCUAAGGAUAACAGGCUGAUCUCCCCCAAGAGUUCACAUCGACGGGGAGGUUUGGCACCUCGAUGUCGGCUCAUCGCAACCUGGGGCUGAAGUCGGUCCCAAGGGUUGGGCUGUUCGCCCAUUAAAGCGGUACGCGAGCUGGGUUCAGAACGUCGUGAGACAGUUCGGUCCAUAUCCGGUGCAUGCGCAGGAAUAUUGAGAGGAUUUCUCCCUAGUACGAGAGGACCGGGAGGAACGCACCUCUGGUGUGCCAGUUAUCGUGCCAACGGUAAACGCUGGGUAGCCAUGUGCGGAGAGGAUAACCGCUGAAAGCAUCUAAGUGGGAAGCCCACCUCAAGAUGAGUAUUCCCAUGGCGUUAGCCAGUAAGGUCACGGGAAGAACACCCGUUGAUAGGCUCUACGUGGAAGCCGGGUAACCGGUGAAGCGGAGGAGCACUAAUAGACCGAGGGCUUGA
This 1348-nucleotide ribosomal RNA is filed under the name metagenome. RNAcentral's name for it is "bacterial LSU rRNA". It matches the Rfam family "Bacterial large subunit ribosomal RNA", at positions 1564 to 2925 of the family's 2925-position model. The record is from RNAcentral.